Molecule: ribosomal RNA, 258 nt
Filed under: uncultured Catenibacterium sp.
Lineage: Bacteria; Bacillati; Bacillota; Erysipelotrichia; Erysipelotrichales; Coprobacillaceae
Description: partial 16S ribosomal RNA
Rfam family: Bacterial small subunit ribosomal RNA
Source: RNAcentral
AAGAUGAGUGGCGAACGGGUGAGUAAUACAUAGGUAACCUGCCCCUGUGCGGGGGAUAACAGGAGGAAACUCCUGCUAAUACCGCAUAGCCAUGAGCACCGCAUGGAGCUCAUGCCAAAUAUCCUUUCGGGGAUAGCGCAGGGAUGGACCUAUGGCGCAUUAGCUUGUUGGCGGGGCAACGGCCCACCAAGGCAACGAUGCGUAGCCGGCCUGAGAGGGCGGACGGCCACAUUGGGACUGAGACACGGCCCAGACUCC